CCACCAGCGCCACGAGUGGGAAUCAUGUAUUUGGCCUAAAGCGUUCGUAGCCUGUCUCGUAAGUUCUGGGUGAAAUUGCUCUGCUUAACAGACCAACGUGCUCAGAAUACUGCGAGACUUGAGACCGGGAGGCGUUAGAAGUAUUCUGGGGGGACUGGUAAAAUGGUAUAAUCCCCAGAGGACUACCUGUGGCGAAGGCGUCUAACGAGAACGGGUCUGACGGUCAGGAACGAAAGCUAGGGGAGCAAACGGGAUUAGAAACCCCAGUAGUCC
Molecule: ribosomal RNA, 273 nt
Filed under: uncultured bacterium
Lineage: Bacteria
Description: partial 16S ribosomal RNA
Rfam family: Archaeal small subunit ribosomal RNA
Source: RNAcentral